Peromyscus californicus insignis is the source of this 624-nucleotide long non-coding RNA. RefSeq lists it as uncharacterized. The transcript has 2 exons. NCBI's taxonomy places the organism in Eukaryota, Metazoa, Chordata, Mammalia, Rodentia, Cricetidae. The record is from RefSeq and is a predicted model, not a curated record.
GCCCGCAACCACGUCUCCAGCGAGGGCCCCACCCCACUUGAAAGCUUUCCCGAGAGAGGCGGGUCCGAGCCCGGAAGGCGUGCCGUGGGCCCGCGCGUGCGCGAAGCGGCUUUCCACGCUCUCCCGUGGCUGUCGGGGCCCCGUGAGCGGUGCGGGGAGACGCGGACCCGCCCACUUGUGGCUGUGGAAGCAGGGUGCCUGGGGCGCGGACAGGAUUAACAAAAUAUCUUUUAGGGGAAAAGAAACCCUUUGGACGACGCCGGGUCCUCGGAAGCUGUGCGGUGUCCACUUACUGGACCAAAUAGCAAAGUUGCUCCCUUCUGCGCUGACACAGAAGUCUAGGUACUGUACAUUCACUAAGGCUCCUUGUUUUUGCAAAUCGCGUUUAUGACAACCAUAAGGCAAACGAAUCUAAAGGAAUGGUUAUGAGUGUUUCCAGCGAACAGACGGCUCUCCCCUCGCCCAGCAGGGCAACUCACUCCAGUAGCACCCUCGGGAACUUUGUGAAGUUGGGGGCUCUAGAAAGAUGAUAUUUUCUAGAGAUGUGAAGAGGAAAAGAGGAAGAAAGGAAGUCAUUUGGCUAGUGGUCAGGUGGAAAAAGAUGAAAUAAACGAGAAAACUGAA